Molecule: transfer RNA, 70 nt
Filed under: Dipodomys ordii (Ord's kangaroo rat)
Lineage: Eukaryota; Metazoa; Chordata; Mammalia; Rodentia; Heteromyidae
Rfam family: tRNA
About the family: Transfer RNA (tRNA) molecules are approximately 80 nucleotides in length.
Source: Rfam by way of RNAcentral
GGUAAAGUGGCUCAGUGGUAGAGCGCUUGUCUUGCAUGCAUGAGGCCCUGGGUUCAAUUCCUCAGCACCA